RNAcentral lists this ribosomal RNA (522 nucleotides) under Kodamaea ohmeri. Its description in RNAcentral is "LSU rRNA". It matches the Rfam family "Eukaryotic large subunit ribosomal RNA", at positions 53 to 668 of the family's 3401-position model. Lineage: Eukaryota; Fungi; Ascomycota; Pichiomycetes; Serinales; Debaryomycetaceae. The record is from RNAcentral.
GAGGAAAAGAAACCAACAGGGAUUGCCUCAGUAACGGCGAGUGAAGCGGCAAAAGCUCAAAUUUGAAAUCCCCCCGGGGAGUUGUAAUUUGAAGAUUGCGUCUUGGAGGCGACCGUGUCUAUGUUCCUUGGAACAGGACGUCACAGAGGGUGAGAAUCCCGUGCGGCACGGCCCCCGGCUCCUUAUAAGGCGCUCUCGACGAGUCGAGUUGUUUGGGAAUGCAGCUCAAAGUGGGUGGUAAAUUCCAUCUAAAGCUAAAUACAGGCGAGAGACCGAUAGCGAACAAGUACAGUGAUGGAAAGAUGAAAAGCACUUUGAAAAGAGAGUGAAACAGCACGUGAAAUUGUUGAAAGGGAAGGGCAUGCCGUCAGAUUGUCAGUGUGGGUAAGAAGCGGGGUACAAAGACUGUGGAACGUGGCCCUCGGGUGUUAUAGCCGCAGUUCAUGCCCCGUCUCUUUCCGAGGCCUGCUUUGAGGACACCGACGUAAUGACGGUACGCCGCCCGUCUUGAAACACGGACCA